GACGAACGCUGGCGGCGUGCUUAACACAUGCAAGUCGAACGGAAAGGCCCUGCUUUUGUGGGGUGCUCGAGUGGCGAACGGGUGAGUAACACGUGAGUAACCUGCCCUUGACUUUGGGAUAACUUCAGGAAACUGGGGCUAAUACCGGAUAGGAGCUCCUGCUGCAUGGUGGGGGUUGGAAAGUUUCGGCGGUUGGGGAUGGACUCGCGGCUUAUCAGCUUCUUGGUGGGGUAGUGGCUUACCAAGGCUUUGACGGGUAGCCGGCCUGAGAGGGUGACCGGCCACAUUGGGACUGAGAUACGGCCCAGACUCCUACGGGAGGCAGCAGUGGGGAAUAUUGCACAAUGGGCGGAAGCCUGAUGCAGCAACGCCGCGUGCGGGAUGACGACCUUCGGGUUGUAAACCGCUUUCGCCUGUGACGAAGCGUGAGUGACGGUAAUGUGUAAAGAAGCACCGGCUAACUACGUG
RNAcentral lists this ribosomal RNA (468 nucleotides) under uncultured bacterium. RNAcentral describes it as "partial 16S ribosomal RNA". It matches the Rfam family "Bacterial small subunit ribosomal RNA", at positions 28 to 507 of the family's 1533-position model. The record is from RNAcentral.